This 89-nucleotide transfer RNA is filed under the name Candidatus Roizmanbacteria bacterium. RNAcentral's name for it is "tRNA-Leu". It matches the Rfam family "tRNA". From Rfam's summary of the family: Transfer RNA (tRNA) molecules are approximately 80 nucleotides in length. Their secondary structure includes four short double-helical elements and three loops (D, anti-codon, and T loops). The record is from RNAcentral. Lineage: Bacteria; Candidatus Roizmaniibacteriota.
GUCGGGGUGGCGGAAUUGGCAGACGCGCUAGCUUGAGGGGCUAGUUCCCUUUAAAAGGAGUGCAGGUUCAAGUCCUGUCCCCGACACCA